AUAAAAUCACAUAAGAGGGAAGAGAAGAAAGACAAUGAAAAAGAAUCAUGAACUUUUUCAUUUUAUCAUAUGAAAGGUAAAUAUUUUGCCAACUUAUUAUAUUUUUGCCAAUCUUACUAUAUUUAAAAAUAAUUUCAAUUUUUUUUUUUAAACAAUUACUCAAGUCUAUAAUUAAGAAGAGAACAAAAAUGACAUAAAGAAAUUUUUUAAAAAAAAAUAGAAAAGUAGUUUGGGUUUAGGGUUAUAUUUAUAUAUAAAUGUAGAAUUAGUGUUGAGUGCUCAUCCAUCUAAUAUCCUUUAUGGUUACAUUGUGACCACACCAAAAGCAACCCCACAAUUUUAUUUAUUUAUUUUCAUUCUCAACUAUUCUUCUCUCUCUCCAAACACACACACUCUCUCUCUCUCUCUUCUUUUGCCAUUUUUGUUGUGAAAUUUUGCAGGUUAGGUUAUUGUGUGAAGGGAAAAAGGUAAGGUAAGGAUGAUGUUGAGGGUAGUAGUGAACUUGAAAGCAAAAAUAAUGAAGUCAUUGAAGAUGAAGAUGAAGAUGAAAGCAACAAAUUACGAUGCAGAUUAUGAUAAGAUGGAGAAAAGUGAAAGCAUGAGAGUUGAAAUCAGAAGCAGAAAAGCCCAGAAGCUCAUCCAACAGUCCUUGAAAUUUGCUGACUCUCCCUCUUCUAAAACUUAUGCCUUUUGAUUUCUUAUAUAAAUAUCAAUUUUCUUCUCUUAUAUCUCAAUCAAUCCCACCCCCUGCCCUUAAUUUCAUCUAUACCCUUCCCCUCCCUCCCUUCCUUCCUUCAUCACUACAUAAUUAUAUAUGAACAAAAGUAUCUAAUAAUAAAAUAAAAUAACUCACUUUUCCUUAUUCUCUUCUCUUCUUCUUCUUCUUCUUCUUCUUCUCAUCCUCUUUUUCUUUUUUCUAUCGUGGCUGAAACCAUUAAAUUUAUAAUACAUAUUUAUUUCUAUAUAUGAUGAGACUAUGUGUUUUUAUUAUUUUGUUACUUAAAUUAAUGCAAACAAACAUUUAUAGUUGUUUCUUUAUAUUAAUUAACCAUAUGGACAAAAUAUGUGUAUUUUAUUACUCUAUCUAUUUUUCUUAAUUUGAUGAGGGGACAAAUUAGAAAUUAAUGAAAUGUAGUUAAACAUUCUUUCUACCAUUUUUAGUUGGUUAAUUAUAAGAAAAAUUAUGGCCACCACAAUAAAAACAUAGAUUUUCAAAUUGGUUUGUUUUAGAACAAUUUUUUCUUCAAAGGAAGAGAUACUAAGAGAAAAUAUAUGAGAAGAAAAGCAUGAUCUAUCUAAUUAAAUUUGGAACAUAUCAUCUACCUAUUAUUUAAUCAUCUUUUGCAAUCAAUAUAGAUAUUACAUAUACAACUGCUAAGUUUUUUUUUUUUUUCUUUUUUAAAGUUAAAGUUAGGGAAAUGAUAAAUUAAGGAGAUAUAUAUAUAUAUAUAUAUGGUAUGUUAGGAAUGUGUGGUAUAUAAUCAAAAAAGUUUUAUCCAUGAUUUUUGUAUAGGGAAGCAAAAUGAUGUGGAAACAUAUAAAAGAAUAUGGUUGGUAGAAGAAAACUUAUCUCAUCAAAAUUUAAUGGUGUGAUGAAAAUGACAACUUUUAUUUUCUUUUCAGUGGGAUAUUCAAAUCUAUUUAUAUCAUCUUUU
This 1655-nucleotide long non-coding RNA is filed under the name Cucumis sativus (cucumber). Its description in RNAcentral is "long non-coding RNA (CSAT_LNC001024)". Lineage: Eukaryota; Viridiplantae; Streptophyta; Magnoliopsida; Cucurbitales; Cucurbitaceae. The record is from RNAcentral.